This 776-nucleotide ribosomal RNA is filed under the name uncultured Neocallimastigales. RNAcentral's name for it is "partial large subunit ribosomal RNA". It matches the Rfam family "Eukaryotic large subunit ribosomal RNA", at positions 20 to 627 of the family's 3401-position model. Lineage: Eukaryota; Fungi; Neocallimastigomycota; Neocallimastigomycetes; Neocallimastigales. The record is from RNAcentral.
UACUAGAGUAGCACUCGCAUAUCAAUAAGCGGAGGAAAAGAAACUAACAAGGAUUCCCCUAGUAACGGCGAGUGAAGCGGGAAGAGCUCAAAUUUGAAAUCUUAAAGGGUUUCCCUUUACGAAUUGUAGUUUAAAGAAGUGUUUUCUGUUGAGGUUUUGGUAAAAGUUCUUUGGAAUAGGACAUCAUAGAGGGUGAGAAUCCCGUAUUUGACCUUUACUUUCAACCUUUGUGAUACACUUUCAAAGAGUCGGAUUGUUUGGGAAUGCAGUCCAAAAAUGGGUGGUAAAUUUCAUCUAAAGCUAAAUAUUGGCGAGAGACCGAUAGCGAACAAGUACCGUGAGGGAAAGAUGAAAAGAACUUUGAAAAGAGAGUUAAACAGUACGUGAAAUUGUCAAAAGGGAAGCGUUUGACACCAGUGUUGUUUUUCUGAAAAUCAAUUAAAGAACUGUUUAUGCUAAGUUGUUUAGACUUUAUCAGCUAUCUGUUUAGUUUUGAGCUUUUCUUUAAUGCACUUUUCAGUUAACAAGUCAACAUCAAUUUCUUUUGCUGUAAAAAAGCUUGAGGAAGGUGGCUUGAGAUUCGUCUUAAGUGUUUAUAGCCUCUUGCCUAUGCAGUCGGAGAGAUUGAGGUCUGCAGCGUAGAUCCUUCGGGGCUAAAUGCAUUUGUGCUAAGUUAUAGCAUUUUAUAGACAACUUGUUGACUAUGAUUUGUCUUGUAGCUUACUCGCUUAUGUUAUUUUACCUACGCUUAGGAUGUUGAACUCUAUCACACACAG